RNAcentral lists this unclassified non-coding RNA (230 nucleotides) under Hevea brasiliensis (rubber tree). The record is from RNAcentral. Lineage: Eukaryota; Viridiplantae; Streptophyta; Magnoliopsida; Malpighiales; Euphorbiaceae.
CUUGAAGUAUGAAGAAUUGAAGAAAGAUCCAAUCUUUAAUGCAAAGAAAUUAGCAGAGUUUUUGGAGCAGCCUUUUUCACUGGAGGAAGAGAAUGAAGGCAUUGUGGAGAGGAUAACAGAGCUAUGCAGCUUUGAGAAACUGAGUAAUUUGGAGGUGAAUAAAGAAGGUUCACACACUGGAUUUUUCACUCCUACUGUUUCUAACAACAUAUUUUUCAGGCAAGGUAAAG